GAUCCUGGCUCAGGAUGAACGCUAGCUACAGGCUUAACACAUGCAAGUCGAGGGGCAGCAUGGUCUUAGCUUGCUAAGGCCGAUGGCGACCGGCGCACGGGUGAGUAACGCGUAUCCAACCUGCCUUACACUCUUGGACAGCCUUCUGAAGGGGAGAUUAAUACAAGAUGUUAUCAUGGGUAAGCAUUUUCGCAUGAUUAAAGGUUUACCGGUGUAAGAUGGGGAUGCGUUCCAUUAG
Molecule: ribosomal RNA, 238 nt
Filed under: uncultured bacterium
Lineage: Bacteria
Description: partial 16S ribosomal RNA
Rfam family: Bacterial small subunit ribosomal RNA
Source: RNAcentral